RNAcentral lists this ribosomal RNA (519 nucleotides) under uncultured bacterium. RNAcentral's name for it is "bacterial SSU rRNA". It matches the Rfam family "Bacterial small subunit ribosomal RNA", at positions 28 to 536 of the family's 1533-position model. The record is from RNAcentral.
GAUGAACGCUAGCGAUAGGCCUAACACAUGCAAGUCGAGGGGCAUCACAUGAAGUAGCAAUACGGAUGGUGGCGACCGGCGCACGGGUGAGUAACACGUAUGCAACCUGCCUUCAACAAGGGGAUAACCCGUUGAAAGACGGACUAAUACCCUAUAACACAGGGGUCCCGCAUGGGAAUAUUUGUUAAAGGACAACCGGUUGAAGAUGGGCAUGCGUUCCAUUAGCUAGUUGGCGGGGUAACGGCCCACCAAGGCAACGAUGGAUAGGGGAACUGAGAGGUUUAUCCCCCACACUGGUACUGAGACACGGACCAGACUCCUACGGGAGGCAGCAGUGAGGAAUAUUGGUCAAUGGACGCAAGUCUGAACCAGCCACGUCGCGUGAAGGAAGACGGCCCUACGGGGUUGUAAACUUCUUUUAUACGGGGAAUAAAGUGCCCCACGCGUGGGGUUUUGCAUGUACCGUAUGAAUAAGGAUCGGCUAACUCCGUGCCAGCAGCCGCGGUAAGUCACACUACA